UACGAGGGGGGCAAGCGUUGUUCGGAAUUAUUGGGCGUAAAGGGUGCGUAGGCGGUUUGGUAAGUCUGAUGUGAAAUCUAUGGGCUCAACUCAUAGUCUGCAUCGGAAACUGCCGGGCUUGAGUGUGGGAGAGGUGAGUGGAAUUCCUGGUGUAGCGGUGAAAUGCGUAGAUAUCAGGAGGAACACCUGUGGCGAAAGCGGCUCACUGGACCAUAACUGACGCUGAUGCACGAAAGCUAGGGGAGCAAACAGG
Molecule: ribosomal RNA, 253 nt
Filed under: uncultured bacterium
Lineage: Bacteria
Description: partial 16S ribosomal RNA
Rfam family: Bacterial small subunit ribosomal RNA
Source: RNAcentral